Molecule: ribosomal RNA, 116 nt
Organism: Ochotona princeps (American pika)
Lineage: Eukaryota; Metazoa; Chordata; Mammalia; Lagomorpha; Ochotonidae
Source: Ensembl
GUCUACGGCCAUACCACCCUGAACGCGCCCGAUCUCGUCUGACCCUGGAAGCUAAGCAGGGUCGGGCCUGGUUAGUACUUGGAUGGGAGACAUAAGAGUGCAAGAUGCACCUGCCU